Molecule: ribosomal RNA, 94 nt
Filed under: Leptocylindrus danicus
Lineage: Eukaryota; Bacillariophyta; Leptocylindrophyceae; Leptocylindrales; Leptocylindraceae
Description: partial Archaeal large subunit ribosomal RNA
Source: RNAcentral
GAACCUCCAAAGAAAAUAAAACAACCAAGUAUAGCGAAGAAAAAAAAUCAAUCAGACAAGCCCCAAGUUGUUGAGGUUGAAACUGACUUCGUUG